UACGGGGGGGGCAAGCGUUGUUCGGAAUUACUGGGCGUAAAGGGCUCGUAGGCGGCCAACUAAGUCAGACGUGAAAUCCCUCGGCUUAACCGGGGAACUGCGUCUGAUACUGGAUGGCUUGAGUUUGGGAGAGGGAUGCGGAAUUCCAGGUGUAGCGGUGAAAUGCGUAGAUAUCGGGAGGAACACCGGUGGCGAAGGCGGCAUCCUGGACCGGUAUUGACGCUGAGGAGCGAAAGCCAGGGGAGCAAACGGG
Molecule: ribosomal RNA, 253 nt
Filed under: uncultured bacterium
Lineage: Bacteria
Description: partial 16S ribosomal RNA
Rfam family: Bacterial small subunit ribosomal RNA
Source: RNAcentral